GUGCUGGCUUCAGGAGCACCUACUCUAGAAUUGGAACGAUACAGGGAAGAUUAGCGUGGCCCUGUGCAAGGAUAGCACUCAAGAAUGAGGAUACAGGACAGGCACAG
Otolemur garnettii (small-eared galago) is the source of this 107-nucleotide small nuclear RNA. The record is from Ensembl. Lineage: Eukaryota; Metazoa; Chordata; Mammalia; Primates; Galagidae.